Molecule: long non-coding RNA, 408 nt
Filed under: Ananas comosus (pineapple)
Lineage: Eukaryota; Viridiplantae; Streptophyta; Magnoliopsida; Poales; Bromeliaceae
Description: long non-coding RNA (ACOM_LNC007042)
Source: RNAcentral
GAAAAUGGAAAUACGAGCAACCAGGAACCAAAGCAUUAUGCUCUCUAUAUCCUUAUUUUCUCCAGAGAUUGCCUGAAAACUUUAGGAUUUUUCAUGGCUCAGUGGAGAAGAGCCAUGAAGAUCAAAAUAGGCCCACCAUGGGUAGCAUAGGAUUUAUCAUGGCUCAAUGGAGAAGAGCCAUCAAGAUCAAAAUAGGCCCACCAUGGGUAGCAUAGGAUUUUUCAUGGCUCAAUGGAGAAGAGCCAUCAAGAUCAAAAUAGGCCCACCAUGGGUAGCCAUGGGUCUUCCUACAUAUUUGCACAAGUACCUUUGAGAAGUUGGUAUCUGCAUGCAUAUCCUAGAAAACCAUUAUUUGUUUGCAUUUAUACACCUGUCAGAAUUAAAUGUGCCAAAGUCAUUUCCGAUAGA